RNAcentral lists this ribosomal RNA (474 nucleotides) under uncultured bacterium. RNAcentral's name for it is "bacterial SSU rRNA". It matches the Rfam family "Bacterial small subunit ribosomal RNA", at positions 29 to 524 of the family's 1533-position model. The record is from RNAcentral.
AACGAACGCUGGCGGCAGGCCUAACACAUGCAAGUCGAGCGGCCCCUUUGGGGGCAGCGGCGGACGGGUGAGUAACGCGUGGGAACCUGGCCUUGGGUGCGGGAUAACGUCGGGAAACUGGCGCUAAUACCGCAUAAUGUCUACUGACCAAAGAUUUAUCGCCCAAGGAUGGGCCCGCGUUGGAUUAGCUAGAUGGCGGGGUAACGGCCCACCAAGGCGACGAUGACUAGGGGAUCUGAGAGGAUGACCCCCCCACACUGGUACUGAGACACGGACCAGACUCCUACGGGAGGCAGCAGUAAGGAAUAUUGGUCAAUGGAGGGAACUCUGAACCAGCCAUGCCGCGUGCAGGAAGACAGCCCUCUGGGUCGUAAAACUGCUUUUUAUUCGGGAAUAAACCGUUUCUACGUGUAGGAAGCUGAAUGUACCGAAGGAAUAAGGAUCGGCUAACUCCGUGCCAGCCGCCGCCGUAAU